Molecule: ribosomal RNA, 350 nt
Filed under: Escherichia coli
Lineage: Bacteria; Pseudomonadati; Pseudomonadota; Gammaproteobacteria; Enterobacterales; Enterobacteriaceae
Description: partial 23S ribosomal RNA
Rfam family: Bacterial large subunit ribosomal RNA
Source: RNAcentral
AAAUCCGGAAAAUCAAGGCUGAGGCGUGAUGACGAGGCACUACGGUGCUGAAGCAACAAAUGCCCUGCUUCCAGGAAAAGCCUCUAAGCAUCAGGUAACAUCAAAUCGUACCCCAAACCGACACAGGUGGUCAGGUAGAGAAUACCAAGGCGCUUGAGAGAACUCGGGUGAAGGAACUAGGCAAAAUGGUGCCGUAACUUCGGGAGAAGGCACGCUGAUAUGUAGGUGAAGUCCCUCGCGGAUGGAGCUGAAAUCAGUCGAAGAUACCAGCUGGCUGCAACUGUUUAUUAAAAACACAGCACUGUGCAAACACGAAAGUGGACGUAUACGGUGUGACGCCUGCCCGGUGC